GUGGUUCUUGACUUGGAGGGCUGGAGUGUGGAGGCCAGAGACUACUUCCCUUAGUCGAUAUGUGCCAAGAAAUCCGAUUUCAUCCAAAGCUGACAGAUCCAGUCCAGGUGGGAGAAUAAUGCACUGGCAGGCAGACUAGGAGCAGUGAGGUGUGGGGAAGGUAUGAUUUACAUCAUUAUCAUAGGAUCCUAGUGAAGAA
RNAcentral lists this long non-coding RNA (199 nucleotides) under Monodelphis domestica (gray short-tailed opossum). RNAcentral describes it as "lncRNA (ENSMODG00000043075.1)". Lineage: Eukaryota; Metazoa; Chordata; Mammalia; Didelphimorphia; Didelphidae. The record is from RNAcentral.